Molecule: ribosomal RNA, 253 nt
Filed under: uncultured bacterium
Lineage: Bacteria
Description: partial 16S ribosomal RNA
Rfam family: Bacterial small subunit ribosomal RNA
Source: RNAcentral
UACGAAGGGGGCAAGCGUUGUCCGGAUUUAUUGGGCGUAAAGAGCGUGUAGGCGGCUUUACAGGUCCGUUGUGAAAACUCGAGGCUCAACCUCGAGACGCCGGUGGAAACCGUAAGGCUAGAGUCCGGAAGAGGAGAGUGGAAUUCCUGGUGUAGCGGUGAAAUGCGCAGAUAUCAGGAAGAACACCCGUGGCGAAGGCGGCUCUCUGGGACGGUACUGACGCUGAGACGCGAAAGCGUGGGGAGCGAACAGG